GGAGAGUUGGCAGAGUCCGGCUGAAUGCACCUGACUUGAAAUCAGACGUACACGAAAGUGUACCGGGGGUUCGAAUCCCUCACUCUCCG
This 89-nucleotide transfer RNA is filed under the name Reinekea marinisedimentorum. It matches the Rfam family "tRNA". From Rfam's summary of the family: Transfer RNA (tRNA) molecules are approximately 80 nucleotides in length. Their secondary structure includes four short double-helical elements and three loops (D, anti-codon, and T loops). Lineage: Bacteria; Pseudomonadati; Pseudomonadota; Gammaproteobacteria; Oceanospirillales; Saccharospirillaceae. The record is from Rfam by way of RNAcentral. RNAcentral also lists the same sequence under 1 other name.